This 77-nucleotide transfer RNA is filed under the name Candidatus Altimarinota bacterium. Its description in RNAcentral is "tRNA-Val". It matches the Rfam family "tRNA". From Rfam's summary of the family: Transfer RNA (tRNA) molecules are approximately 80 nucleotides in length. The record is from RNAcentral. Lineage: Bacteria; Candidatus Altimarinota. RNAcentral also lists the same sequence under 1 other name.
GGGCGGUUAGCUCAGUUGGCUAGAGCGAAUGAUUGACGUUCAUUAGGUCAGAGGUUCGACUCCUCUACCGCCCACCA